Molecule: long non-coding RNA, 547 nt
Filed under: Salmo salar (Atlantic salmon)
Lineage: Eukaryota; Metazoa; Chordata; Actinopteri; Salmoniformes; Salmonidae
Description: lncRNA (ENSSSAG00000099301.1)
Source: RNAcentral
GCGCACGGACAGACAAGGUGGAGAUGAGUGGCCGAGACGCUAACAGACAGACAAGGCGGAGAUGAGUCGCCGAGACGAGCACGGACAAGGUGGAGAUGAGUGGCCGAGACGCUAACAGACAGACAAGGCGGAGAUGAGUGGCCGAGAUGCUAACAGACAGACAAGGUGGAGAUGAGUGGCCAAGAUGCGCACGGACAGAGAAGGCGGAGAUGAAUGGCCGAGACACGCACAGACAGACAAAGCAGAGAUGAGUGGCCGAGAUGCUAACAGACAGACAAGGCGGAGAUGAGGGGCCGAGAUGCUAACAGACAGACAAGGCGGAGAUGAGUGGCCGAGAUGCUAACAGACAGACAAGGCGGAGAUGAGUGGCCGAGACACGCACAGACAGACAAGGUGGAGAUGAGUGGCCGAGACGCUAACAGACAGACAAGGUGGAGAUGAGUGGCCGAGACGCGCACGGACAGGACAGACAAGGCUGAGAUGAGUGGCCGAGACGCGCAUGGACAAGGUGGAGAUGAGUGGCCGAGACGCGCACGGACAGACAAGG